GAGGUCAAAAUAUCAACCUUAACAGGAGUUUGGAGGAAGUUGAUUCCAACUUUCAUGGAUGACUUAGAGGGGUUCAAGACAUCAGUGGAGGAAGUAACUGCAGAUGUGGCAGAAAUAGUAAGAGAACUAGAAUUAUAAGUAGAGCCUGAAAACAUGACUGAAUUGCUGCAAUUGCAUGAUAAAACCUUAACAGAUGUGGAGUUGCUUCUUAUAGAUGAACAAAGAAAUUGGUUUCCUUUCUUUUCUAAAAACUUUUU
Ceratotherium simum simum (southern white rhinoceros) is the source of this 257-nucleotide non-coding RNA. NCBI's taxonomy places the organism in Eukaryota, Metazoa, Chordata, Mammalia, Perissodactyla, Rhinocerotidae. The record is from RefSeq and is a predicted model, not a curated record.